RNAcentral lists this ribosomal RNA (937 nucleotides) under uncultured Methylobacter sp. Its description in RNAcentral is "bacterial SSU rRNA". It matches the Rfam family "Bacterial small subunit ribosomal RNA", at positions 77 to 998 of the family's 1533-position model. The record is from RNAcentral. Lineage: Bacteria; Pseudomonadati; Pseudomonadota; Gammaproteobacteria; Methylococcales; Methylococcaceae.
CCUUCGGGCGCUGACGAGUGGCGGACGGGUGAGUAACGCGUAGGAAUCUGCCUGGUAGUGGGGGACAACUUAGGGAAACUUAAGCUAAUACCGCAUACGCUCCUUAUUGAAAGAUGGGGAGGAAAGCGGGGGCUCUUCGGACCUCGCGCUAUCAGAUGAGCCUGCGUUAGAUUAGCUGGUUGGUGGGGUAAAGGCCUACCGAGGCGACGAUCUAUAGCUGGUCUGAGAGGACGAUCAGCCACACUGGGACUGAGACACGGCCCAGACUCCUACGGGAGGCAGCAGUGGGGAAUAUUGGACAAUGGGCGCAAGCCUGAUCCAGCAAUACCGCGUGUGUGAAGAAGGCCCUAGGGUUGUAAAGCACUUUCAACGGGGAGGAAAACCUGCCGGCCCAAUACCCGGCAGCUUGACAUUACCUGUAGAAGAAGCACCGGCUAACUCCGUGCCAGCAGCCGCGGUAAUACGGAGGGUGCGAGCGUUAAUCGGAAUUACUGGGCGUAAAGCGUGCGUAGGCGGUUGAUUAAGUCAGAUGUGAAAGCCCCGGGCUUAACCUGGGAACGGCAUUUGAUACUGGUUAACUAGAGUUUAGUAGAGGGGAGUGGAAUUUCAGGUGUAGCGGUGAAAUGCGUAGAUAUCUGAAGGAACACCAGUGGCGAAGGCGACUCCCUGGACUAGAACUGACGCUGAGGUACGAAAGCGUGGGUAGCAAACAGGAUUAGAUACCCUGGUAGUCCACGCCGUAAACGAUGUCAACUAGCCGUUGGUCCUAUUUACAGGAUGAGUGGCGCAGCUAACGCAUUAAGUUGACCGCCUGGGGAGUACGGCCGCAAGGUUAAAACUCAAAUGAAUUGACGGGGGCCCGCACAAGCGGUGGAGCAUGUGGUUUAAUUCGAUGCAACGCGAAGAACCUUACCUACCCUUGACAUCCAUAGAAUCA